This is a ribosomal RNA of 2244 nucleotides. The stretch from base 348 to 2244 matches the Rfam family "Eukaryotic large subunit ribosomal RNA", at positions 1 to 1915 of the family's 3401-position model.
ACUUUCAACAACGGAUCUCUUGGUUCCGACAUCGAUGAAGAACGCAGCGAAAUGCGAUAAGUAAUGUGAAUUGCAGAAUUCCGUGAAUCAUCGAAUCUUUGAACGCACAUUGCGCCCCCUGGUAUUCCGGGGGGCAUGCCUGUCCGAGCGUCAUUGCAACCCUCAAGCGCGGCUUGUGUGUUGGGCUUUCGUCCCCCCGUGGACGUGCCCGAAAAGCAGCGGCGGCGUCGUGUUCCGGUGCCCGAGCGUAUGGGGCUUUGUCACCCGCUCUAGAGGCCCGGCCGGCUCCGGCCCAUCUCAACCCUUUAGCGGGAGGGCGGUCUUCGGAUCGGUCUCCCCACUCAGGUUGACCUCGGAUCAGGUAGGGAUACCCGCUGAACUUAAGCAUAUCAAUAAGCGGAGGAAAAGAAACCAACAGGGAUUGCCUCAGUAACGGCGAGUGAAGCGGCAAAAGCUCAAAUUUGAAAUCUGGCUCCUUCGGGGCCCGAGUUGUAAUUUGCAGAGGAUGCUUCGGGCGUGGCCGCGGUCUAAGUCCCCUGGAACGGGGCGUCGCAGAGGGUGAGAAUCCCGUCUUCGGCCGGCCGGCUUCGCCCGUGUGAAGCUCCUUCGACGAGUCGAGUUGUUUGGGAAUGCAGCUCUAAAUGGGUGGUAAAUUUCAUCUAAAGCUAAAUAUUGGUCGGAGACCGAUAGCGCACAAGUAGAGUGAUCGAAAGAUGAAAAGCACUUUGAAAAGAGAGUUAAACAGCAUGUGAAAUUGUUGAAAGGGAAGCGCUUGCGACCAGAGUCGGCCGCGGGGGUUCAGCGGGCAUUCGUUGCCCGUGCACUCCCCCGCGGGCGGGCCAGCGUCGGUUUUGACGGCCGGUCAAAGGCCCCCGGAAUGUGUCGCCUCUCGGGGCGUCUUAUAGCCGGGGGUGCAAUGCGGCCAGUCGGGACCGAGGAACGCGCUUCGGCACGGACGCUGGCUUAAUGGUCGUAAGCGACCCGUCUUGAAACACGGACCAAGGAGUCUAACAUCCACGCGAGUGUUCGGGUGUCAAACCCGUACGCGCAGUGAAAGCGAACGGAGGUGGGAACCCUUAAGGGUGCACCAUCGACCGAUCCUGAAGUCUUCGGAUGGAUUUGAGUAAGAGCGUGGCUGUUGGGACCCGAAAGAUGGUGAACUAUGCCUGAAUAGGGUGAAGCCAGAGGAAACUCUGGUGGAGGCUCGCAGCGGUUCUGACGUGCAAAUCGAUCGUCAAAUUUGGGCAUAGGGGCGAAAGACUAAUCGAACCAUCUAGUAGCUGGUUCCUGCCGAAGUUUCCCUCAGGAUAGCAGUAGCGUUUUCAGUUUUAUGAGGUAAAGCGAAUGAUUAGAGGCCUUGGGGUUGAAACAACCUUAACCUAUUCUCAAACUUUAAAUAUGUAAGAAGCCCUUGUUACUUUAUUGAACGUGGGCACUGGAAUGGAUCGUUACUAGUGGGCCAUUUUUGGUAAGCAGAACUGGCGAUGCGGGAUGAACCGAACGCGAGGUUAAGGUGCCGGAAUGCACGCUCAUCAGACACCACAAAAGGUGUUAGUUCAUCUAGACAGCCCGACGGUGGCCAUGGAAGUCGGAAUCCGCUAAGGAGUGUGUAACAACUCACGGGCCGAAUGAACUAGCCCUGAAAAUGGAUGGCGCUCAAGCGUGCUACCCAUACCUCGCCGUCGGGGUAGAAUCGAUGCCCCGACGAGUAGGCAGGCGUGGAGGUCCGUGACGAAGCCUAGGGAGUGAUCCCGGGUCGAACGGCCUCUAGUGCAGAUCUUGGUGGUAGUAGCAAAUACUCAAAUGAGAACUUUGAGGACUGAAGUGGGGAAAGGUUCCAUGUGAACAGCAGUUGGACAUGGGUUAGUCGAUCCUAAGACAUAGGGAAACUCCGUUUUAAAGCGCGCCCUCGUGCGCCGUUCGUCGAAAGGGAAGCCGGUUAACAUUCCGGCACCUGGAUGUGGAUUCUCCACGGCAACGUAACUGAACGCGGAGACGUCGGCGGGGGCCCUGGGAAGAGUUAUCUUUUCUUCUUGACGGCCUAUCACCCUGAAAUCGGUUUGUCCGGAGCUAGGGUUCAAUGGCCGGCAGAGCCCCGCACCUUUGCGGGGUCCGGUGCGCCCCCGACGACCCUUGAAAAUCCGCGGGAAGGAAUAGUUUUCACGCCAGGUCGUACUCAUAACCGCAGCAGGUCUCCAAGGUGAAAAGCCUCUAGUUGAUAGAACAAUGUAGAUAAGGGAAGUC